Molecule: non-coding RNA, 128 nt
Organism: Glycine soja
Lineage: Eukaryota; Viridiplantae; Streptophyta; Magnoliopsida; Fabales; Fabaceae
Source: Rfam
ACUGAAACUCAGCUGCUGACUCGUUGGCUCGAGAGUUCACCAUUAAGAUAGAUUGAUGUUCGGCACUCACGCCAUGUAAUUAAGGUGGUGUGCUUCUGAUCCAACGAUGCGGGAGCUGCAUUCAGUCG